Molecule: ribosomal RNA, 189 nt
Filed under: uncultured bacterium
Lineage: Bacteria
Description: partial 16S ribosomal RNA
Rfam family: Bacterial small subunit ribosomal RNA
Source: RNAcentral
CCUACGGGAGGCAGCAGUGAUGAAUAUUGGUCAAUGGGCGAGAGCCUGAACCAGCCAUGCCGCGUGCAGGAAGACGGUCCUAUGGAUUGUAAACUGCUUUUAUACAGGAAGAAACACUCCCUCGUGAGGGAGCUUGACGGUACUGUAGGAAUAAGGAUCGGCUAACUCCGUGCCAGCAGCCGCGGUAAU